This is a long non-coding RNA of Pezoporus flaviventris, 235 nucleotides long. RefSeq lists it as uncharacterized. NCBI's taxonomy places the organism in Eukaryota, Metazoa, Chordata, Aves, Psittaciformes, Psittacidae. The record is from RefSeq and is a predicted model, not a curated record. The transcript is spliced from 2 exons.
CAAGCACUGGCAUUUCCAGGGUACAUGUUUUCAGGACACCAGCAUUCCCAGGAAAGCUGCUUUUUCAAAGUUCCCACCUGCACCCCCUGCUCUGAAACAAAGGCUCCCACUAAAAGCAAAGAAGUAGCUAUAGAGGAAGAUUCCCUAGUUGCUGCCCACAUGUCAACUGCUGCUGUUGCAGACUGUGGCUUUUGUGAUGACAGCAAUGAUUCAAUUAAAUGAUUUUUUAAUACUU